Molecule: non-coding RNA, 27 nt
Filed under: Rattus norvegicus (Norway rat)
Lineage: Eukaryota; Metazoa; Chordata; Mammalia; Rodentia; Muridae
Source: RNAcentral
UAAAUGGGGCAGCUGGGUGCCAGCAAC